GUCUUUGACGCACUUGCUGCCGUCCUCGGGACGUUAAGGYGCUCUGGCCGAGGAUAAACCGCCGCCUCCCAGUGUUACCUCCCCGGAGGCACACGUUAAAGAACGCUCCGCGUUGUGAGUCUGAACCGUUGUAAAAACACUACAACCGGUAGCAUUGGAUCCCUUGGCACGUCAUUCGAUGAAGACCGUUGCAAAUUGCGAUAAAGUGAUGUGAUGCGCAAGUCCACCACUUAUACGUGAAUCAUCGAGUUGUUGAACGCACUGCACCGCGCCCUAAACCGGCUGCGGUAUGCCCCUUUGAGCGUCAUUGUUGUCCUUYGUGAGCCUCGUUUCCGAACGGGCCCGAGUUCGGAGUCCUCGGUCCUCGGAUCGUGUUCUCUCAGAAUCAGCGCGCCGUUCGCUCUGGCGGGUUCUCCAAUGCUUGAGCGCGGAGACCUUCCUGCGGGUGUGGCGUCCGACYGCGACCUGAGCGCGCGUCACCAAGUCCCUCUUGGGCACUACAAUUCAUGACCUCAUUGGGGUAGGACAACCCGCUAGACUUAAGCAUAUUAAUCAGCGGAGGAAAAGAAACUAACAAGGAUUCCCUCAGUAACUGCGA
RNAcentral lists this ribosomal RNA (598 nucleotides) under uncultured Tulasnella. Its description in RNAcentral is "eukaryotic LSU rRNA". The stretch from base 144 to 307 matches the Rfam family "5.8S ribosomal RNA". The record is from RNAcentral. Lineage: Eukaryota; Fungi; Basidiomycota; Agaricomycetes; Cantharellales; Tulasnellaceae.